AUUCACUUUUACUACCAACUGAUAAAUUAAAAUAAUCUUUACCAUUCAGUGAUAACAAGCACUUUUUGUUACAUUUUAACAUUUUAUGAUGUAUUUAAAUGAGUAGUUAUUGUUGCAAACUCCAUUAGAAAUUUGAAUUGAGAUCAGUUUUGAAAAAAGGGAAAGGGGGAUGUGAAAAAAAAAUGGUGGGGGAGGGGGUUUAAUUUUUCUCAUUUCAGAUUUCAUAAAGAAAAAGAAAAUUUCUUCAAACAUUUUUUUGAGAGGAUUAAUAUUCAACAGCAUAGUGAUUGCUCAAAGACAAAAAAAUUAUUUUAAGUUCGUUAGACCACAUUCAUUCUGUGUCCAAAACCUAUGCUGUGUCAACUAUUUAAUCACAAUCCAAAUUUAGAGCUGAAUCCAGCUUGAAUGUUGUGUCCAUACUUGCCCCCACCGUUCAGGGUUUAACCUAUGCGGUCGUAUAAAGCUGCGCCCUGCGGAGCAUCUGGUUUUA
Molecule: long non-coding RNA, 490 nt
Filed under: Mytilus galloprovincialis (Mediterranean mussel)
Lineage: Eukaryota; Metazoa; Mollusca; Bivalvia; Mytilida; Mytilidae
Source: RNAcentral